Molecule: ribosomal RNA, 467 nt
Filed under: uncultured bacterium
Lineage: Bacteria
Description: partial 16S ribosomal RNA
Rfam family: Bacterial small subunit ribosomal RNA
Source: RNAcentral
GACGAACGCUGGCGGCGUGCUUAACACAUGCAAGUCGAACGGAAAGGCCUCUUUCGGGGGGUACUCGAGUGGCGAACGGGUGAGUAACACGUGAGUAACCUGCCCUUCACUUUGGGAUAACUUCAGUAAACUGGGGCUAAUACCGGAUAGGAGCUCCUGCUGCAUGGUGGGGGCUGUAAAGUUUCGGCGGUUGGGGAUGGACUCGCGGCUUAUCAGCUUGUUGGUGGGGUAUUGGCUUACCAAGGCUUUGACGGGUAGCCGGCCUGAGGGGGUGACCGGCCACAUUGAGACUGAGAGACGGCCCAGACUCCUACGGGAGGGAGAAGUGGGGAAUAUUGCACAAGGGGUGGAGGCCUGAUGCAGCAACGCCGUGUGCGGGAUGACGGCGUUCGGGUUGGAAACCGAUUGCGCUCAUGACGAAGCUUUGUGUGACGGUAGUGGGUAAAGAAGCACCGGCUAACUACGUG